AUGGGAAGCAGGUUAAUAUUCCUGCACCGUCGUAUGAUGCGAUGGGGGGACGGAUCGCGGAAGGUUGUCUGCCUGUUGGAAUAGGCAGUUUCUGGUUCAUAGAAGGCGCUUAGGCAAAUCCGGGCGCAGGAUUCAAGGGACUGGGACGAGGCAUUUAGGUGCUGAAGCAAUCGGAAGUGGUUCCAAGAAAAGCCUCUAAGCUUCAGUCAUACGAGACCGUACCGCAAACCGACACAGGUGGGCGAGAUGAGUAUUCU
RNAcentral lists this ribosomal RNA (257 nucleotides) under Duganella violaceipulchra. RNAcentral's name for it is "partial 23S ribosomal RNA". It matches the Rfam family "Bacterial large subunit ribosomal RNA", at positions 1418 to 1682 of the family's 2925-position model. The record is from RNAcentral. Lineage: Bacteria; Pseudomonadati; Pseudomonadota; Betaproteobacteria; Burkholderiales; Oxalobacteraceae.